Molecule: long non-coding RNA, 490 nt
Filed under: Lathyrus oleraceus (garden pea)
Lineage: Eukaryota; Viridiplantae; Streptophyta; Magnoliopsida; Fabales; Fabaceae
Description: Pisum sativum (pea) long non-coding RNA (PSAT_LNC036810)
Source: RNAcentral
AAGUUAUAAAGAAGUAACAUAAAACUGGGGUAUGAACCCAACUGGUGAUACGUUCGGUAUUUUGAAGAACACUAACUGGGCCUAGUACACGAAGCCCAACCGAGAAUGAAUUAGCAUCUAGAGGGACAAGAGGAAAUGUGAUAAAUUAUGUUACUAGAUUGGGCCCGGACCGCCUCAAACCCCAACUCACACUAUUAAAGCCCUAAAGGCAAAAAAAACAAAAGGAGAUGAAAUGACCGGUCGCGGUCUUGUCAGCAUGGCAGGAAUGAAUGAUGCUUUUUACAGUCUACCUAUUGAUCCUCACGAAGCUUAUUGACUUACUAUUAAAGCUUUCCAUGUAUAAAGGCACCUCUUUCAAUACUAUUAAAUGGAUUUCAACAUCACCAUAAAUGAUGACUUAGAAAAAACAAAAACAAAACGUUAACCUUCUUUAAAACCCACACGUUUCCCUCUUGAAAUACUCUCACAGUCGUGACUCUCUCUCUCUCUC